AACUGAGGGUAGCGGAGAAAUUCCAAUCGAACCUGGAGAUAGCUGGUUCUCUCCGAAAUAGCUUUAGGGCUAGCCUCAAGUGAUGAUUAUUGGAGGUAGAGCACUGUUUGGACGAGGGGCCCCUCUCGGGUUACCGAAUUCAGACAAACUCCGAAUGCCAAUUAAUUUAACUUGGGAGUCAGAACAUGGGUGAUAAGGUCCGUGUUCGAAAGGGAAACAGCCCAGACCACCAGCUAAGGUCCCAAAAUAUAUGUUAAGUGGAAAAGGAUGUGGCGUUGCCCAGACAACUAGGAUGUUGGCUUAGAAGCAGCCAUCAUUUAAAGAGUGCGUAAUAGCUCACUAGUCGAGUGACACUGCGCCGAAAAUGUACCGGGGCUAAACAUAUUACCGAAGCUGUGGAUUGUCCUUUGGACAAUGGUAGGAGAGCGUUCUAAGGGCGUUGAAGCAUGAUCGUAAGGACAUGUGGAGCGCUUAGAAGUGAGAAUGCCGGUGUGAGUAGCGAAAGACGGGUGAGAAUCCCGUCCACCGAUUGACUAAGGUUUCCAGAGGAAGGCUCGUCCGCUCUGGGUUAGUCGGGUCCUAAGCUGAGGCCGACAGGCGUAGGCGAUGGAUAACAGGUUGAUAUUCCUGUACCACCUAUAAUCGUUUUAAUCGAUGGGGGGACGCAGUAGGAUAGGCGAAGCGUGCGAUUGGAUUGCACGUCUAAGCAGUAAGGCUGAGUAUUAGGCA
RNAcentral lists this ribosomal RNA (729 nucleotides) under Staphylococcus aureus. RNAcentral's name for it is "partial 23S ribosomal RNA". It matches the Rfam family "Bacterial large subunit ribosomal RNA", at positions 807 to 1538 of the family's 2925-position model. The record is from RNAcentral. Lineage: Bacteria; Bacillati; Bacillota; Bacilli; Caryophanales; Staphylococcaceae.